RNAcentral lists this ribosomal RNA (266 nucleotides) under uncultured bacterium. RNAcentral's name for it is "partial 16S ribosomal RNA". It matches the Rfam family "Bacterial small subunit ribosomal RNA", at positions 793 to 1055 of the family's 1533-position model. The record is from RNAcentral.
GUCCUGGCAGUAAACGGUGCGCGUUUGGUGUGGGAGGAUUCGACCCCUUCCGUGCCGGAGCUAACGCGUUAAACGCGCCGCCUGGGGAGUACGGUCGCAAGAUUAAAACUCAAAGAAAUUGACGGGGCCCGCACAAGCGGUGGAGUAUGUGGCUUAAUUCGAUGCAACGCGAAGAACCUUACCUAGCCUUGACAUGCAUCUCUAAGUCGGUGAAAGCCGGCGAGUGUAGCAAUACACCAUUUGCACAGGUGCUGCAUGGCUGUCGU